UUCUCUCUCUCUCUCUCUCUCUCUUUCUUCUUCUUCUUCUUCUUCUUCUUCUUCUUCUUCUUCUUCGUUUCAAUCCCUAAAUUGUGUAUCUUCUUCGUUGCAAAUCACCUCUACAAGGAUAAUGGUGACGGUCAAGAAUUGAGACUCGUUAUAAGUGAAGUCUAAUUAAUCGCCACACAAACCAUUUGAACCCUUCCGAGCUCUGUCUCGCAAUCUCCGUCCUUGUUAAAGUAAAGGGUCUUGCUGCUUCUCUCUUUUUCGUUCGUCUCUCUGUUUGCUUCGAUGGAUAUGGAGAGUGCAGAUACUGAGCCUAACAACAUGGUUGUCAAAGCUUACCCAUUAGGUAUGCGGAUUAUGAAUAACAAUGGCAUUGGUGAAGAUGAAGGAGACUCUGGAGUUGAACCGUAUAUUGGACUAGAGUUUGACACUGCAGAGGAAGCAAGGGACUACUACAAUUCUUAUGCUACGAGGACUGGUUUUAAGGUUAGGACGGGUCAGUUGUAUAGAUCGAGGACCGAUGGAACAGUUUCUUCGAGGAGGUUUGUUUGCUCUAAAGAAGGUUUUCAGCUUAAUUCAAGAACCGGGUGUCCUGCGUUUAUCAGAGUGCAGCGACGAGAUCCUGGGAAAUGGGUUCUUGACCAGAUUCAGAAGGAGCACAACCACGAGCUUGGAGGUCAAGUAGAAGAGACUACUCCUCGUCCUUCAGUACAACAGAGAGCACCUGCUUCCACGAAGCUAGGCAUAUCUGUUCCACAUAGACCCAAGAUGAAAGUUGUUGAUGAAGCUGAUAAAGGAAGGUCAUGCCCUUCUGGUGUGAUCUCUUUUAAGCGCUUCAAAGGAGCUGAAGAGAGUGAUGUGCAAACGCAGCCCAAGGCUACUGAACCUUAUGCAGGGUUGGAGUUCAGCUCAGCUAACGAAGCGUGCCAGUUUUAUCAAGCGUAUGCAGAAGUUGUAGGUUUUAGAGUUCGGAUAGGUCAGUUGUUUCGAUCAAAAGUAGACGGAUCAAUCACAUCAAGAAGAUUUGUCUGUUCAAAAGAAGGGUUUCAGCAUCCUUCGAGAAUGGGCUGUGGAGCUUACAUGAGGAUCAAAAGACAAGACUCUGGAGGUUGGAUAGUGGAUCGUCUCAAUAAAGAUCAUAAUCAUGAGCUUGAACCGGGAAAGAAGAAUGCUGGUAUGAAAAAAAUAACAGAAGAUGUGACACGAGGGUUGGAUUCUGUGGAUCUUAUUGAACUAAACGACUUCAGCCAUCACAUCAGUAAAGCCAGAGAAAACACCAUAGGAAAGGAAUGGUAUCCAUUGCUUUUUGAUUACUUUCAGUCAAAACAGGCAGAAGACAUGGGAUUCUUUUACGCCGUCGAGCUUGAUGGUAACGGAAGCUGUAUGAGUAUUUUUUGGGCAGAUAGCAGAUCAAGGUUUGCCUGCAGUCAGUUUGGUGAUGCUGUUGUUUUUGAUACUUCAUAUAGAAAAGGAGAAUACUCUGUUCCGUUUGCUAUGUUUAUUGGUUUUAAUCACCAUAGGCAACCCGUGCUUCUCGGGGGUGCCUUAGUUGCUGAUGAAUCUAAAGAGGCUUUCUCAUGGUUGUUUCAGACAUGGCUUCGUGCCAUGUCAGGGCGUCGUCCCAGAUCUAUUGUAGCUGAUCAAGACUUGCCUAUCCAACAAGCUGUGGCUCAAGUCUUUCCCGGGGCACAUCACCGGUUCUCAGCGUGGCAGAUAAGGUCCAAAGAACGAGAAAAUCUCAGGUCAUUCCCGAAUGAAUUCAAGUACGAGUACGAGAAGUGUUUAUACCAGUCGCAGACAACGGUUGAGUUUGACACUAUGUGGAGUGCUUUGGUAAACAAGUACGGCCUUACGGAUAACAUGUGGCUCAGAGAAAUAUAUGAAAAACGAGAGAAUUGGGUACCGGCAUAUCUAAGAGCCAGUUUCUUUGGUGGAAUCCCUGUAAACGGCACCUUCGAGCCAUUUUACGGAACUUCUCUUAGUUCUCUAACGUCUCUCAGGGAGUUCAUCUCGCGGUAUGAGCAAGGACUAGAGCAGCGCCGUGAAGAGGAACGGAAAGAGGAUUUCAAUUCUUAUAACUUGCAGCCGUUUCUACAGACGAAAGAACCCGUUGAAGAACAAUGCAGAAGGUUGUACACGCUCACCAUUUUCAGGAUUUUCCAGAGCGAGCUUGCUCAGUCUUAUAAUUACCUUGGUUUAAAGACCUAUGAGGAAGGAGCUAUCAGCAGGUUUCUGGUGAGGAAAUGUGGGAACGAGAAUGAGAAACACGCUGUAACUUUCAGUGCAUCGAAUCUCAAUGCAAGCUGCAGUUGUCAGAUGUUUGAGUACGAAGGACUUCUCUGCAGACAUAUCUUGAAAGUGUUCAACCUCUUGGACAUUCGAGAACUCCCAUCUGGAUAUAUACUGCAUCGGUGGACCAAAAACGCGGAGUUUGGGUUUGUACGCGAUGUAGAAUCAGGCGUGACUUCUCAGGACCUUAAGGCCUUGAUGAUCUGGAGCCUGAGGGAAGCAGCUUCAAAGUAUAUAGAGUUUGGGACAUCUUCUCUGGAGAAGUAUAAGCUUGCAUAUGAGAUCAUGCGCGAGGGUGGGAAGAAACUGUGUUGGCAGAGAUGAGGAAACCAAAUUGAAAAACAAGAAGACGAUGAAGCCUUACUUUAUUAGUGAAGAUGAAAUUCGGGCCGCCAGUGUAAAUCCUAACCCUUCUGUUAACUUAAAAUCAUCAGACAAGGCGGUGGCAGUGGUCGUCAAAGUCGUGUGGCCAGUUGUAUUCUUUCAUAAAAUCGAGAAAGCAGACUUCCUCGGCGGCUCUCUUUGCCAUAAGAGGUAGGUGAUACGAGGCUCUCUACGUAUGUAUCGGCCUCGAAUCCAACACCUUCCUUGAACCCGCGAAUUGUGAUUAUCCUCGAUGCAUCAGUCUUGAGGUUGUACAAGACCAUGUCUCCAUCAACGUCCAGGAGAAACUCUUGAUCGUUCUUAGUUGAACAUUGCGGUUUCAUACACCAGAACAACAAGCUGGUCCGGAUUCUGGUCCAUGAUUUAGCAUCACCGUACUCAUCCAUCACCCACAUAUCAUCGUGGUGAUCGUAGCAACUAUUGACCACACACAGACGUCCGUUAAGACUUGAAACCACAAAAUUUAAGUCUUUCUUCGUAUGGGAACAAGCAGAAACAGGCAAUGGCAUCUCUCGAAACUCCUCAGUAUUUAGAUCAAACGCUACGACUACUCGCUGGUUCCGGUUAUCCUCCUCCUCCUGUACAAGAGUGAGCACCCAGUGAAUGGCACCGUUUAAAUGCACACCGCGAGUGCAGAAGGCUUUACUGAGUUUAUAAUAAUGCAAAGAGCAGAUCCGUCUCCAUGAGUUUGCCUUCAAGGAGUAGACACUGGCGUCGAGAACAUGUGGAUUAGACCGACUAGUAACACCAAGUCUCACCACUUUGUCAUCAUGACUGAGAUGAUCGAAGCCAAAUCCAAACGUUUGGAAACUAUAAACUCCGUCUGGAGCGUCGUCAUCUUCUUCUACGGGAGCGUCAGGUUAUCCCUUGGAGUCUCCGGUGGUUGGGUUAAACAAGAAAACACAAUCUUUUCUAGGAUAAGAUUCAAUACCGAUACCGAUACACACUAAACCGUUGGAUGAUCCAAUGAUGGUGACCCAGUUUCUUCUACACUCAUGUCUUGACACCUUCUUCAUGUCGUCUUUUAGCGGAUAAUUGAGUUCCACGGCCGCUACUAAUUCCCUAGUUCCUCCUCCUCCUCCUUCACAUCCGUCACCGAUCGAAUCAACAUCCAACGAGAAUAGAUUAUACGUAGACACGAUGAUUUUCCGGUGGUUCGUUCGUUCUAGGUGACUCUUCACGAACCCCUGAUCCGACGAUAAAGAGUAAAACAGCUUCGAAACGCACCUGAAUCGCCCUAUCGAUUUCGCCGGUAAUCGGAGAAUAAUUUCCGUGAUUAUAUCAAGAGGAAGAACGAGAGAUUCACGUGAAGCUUUGUCCUCCUUGGUCUCUUCUUCGCCGCCGUCUUCAUCUACUCUUUUCGCCGCCUCCAUUGUCGCUUUCGUAAAACGUCGUUGCUCGUCUGGUGUUACUCUUCUACUCUUCUUCACUGUGAACCUGAAACCUAAACAUUGGAUCCGGUUCUUAUUCGGUUUUCUCAAAAUCGAUUUUAGUCCCAAUUUCCCGGUUUAAUAGUCAGACCGGAGAUUUACAUUUUUUUUCUUACUGAUUUAGAUACCAAAUCAUACAACUACGUA
Molecule: RNA transcript, 4247 nt
Organism: Camelina sativa (false flax)
Lineage: Eukaryota; Viridiplantae; Streptophyta; Magnoliopsida; Brassicales; Brassicaceae
Gene name: protein FAR1-RELATED SEQUENCE 7-like
Source: RefSeq, a predicted model, not a curated record